GAUACCUAAAACGAUGAAAGCCCUACCUCUCUUUCAUCCUUACGGUUCCGAGACCGCGCCAGUGUGAAUCAGGUAUGUGAUACAACC
This 87-nucleotide small RNA is filed under the name Falsibacillus pallidus. Its description in RNAcentral is "Bacillus [pallidus] BsrC". It matches the Rfam family "BsrC". Rfam says of the family: The 301 nucleotide sequence from Kouji Nakamura has been trimmed to a highly conserved ~85 nucleotide long core to form this family. The record is from Rfam by way of RNAcentral. Lineage: Bacteria; Bacillati; Bacillota; Bacilli; Caryophanales; Bacillaceae.